CCUACGGGAGGCUGCAGUAGGGAAUAUUGCUCAAUGGGGGAAACCCUGAAGCAGCAACGCCGCGUGGAGGAUGAAGGUUUUCGGAUUGUAAACUCCUUUUGUUAGAGAAGAUAAUGACGGUAUCUAACGAAUAAGCACCGGCUAACUACGUGCCAGCAGCCGCGGUAAUACGGAGGGGGCAAGCGUUACACGGAAUCACUGGGCGUAAAGAGCGCGUAGGCGGGAUAGCAAGUCAGAUGUGAAAUCCUUUGGCUUAACCAUAGAACUGCAUUUGAAACUGUUAUUCUAGAGUAUAGGAGAGGUAGGUGGAAUUCUUGGUGUAGGGGUGAAAUGCGUAGAGAUCAAGAGGAAUACUCAUUGCGAAGGCGGCCUACUAGAACGUAACUGACGCUGAUGCGCGAAAGCGUGGGGAGCAAACAGGAUUAGAUACCCUAGUAGUC
Molecule: ribosomal RNA, 440 nt
Filed under: uncultured bacterium
Lineage: Bacteria
Description: partial 16S ribosomal RNA
Rfam family: Bacterial small subunit ribosomal RNA
Source: RNAcentral